CCUCAGCGCUGAAGUCCAACCCCUCCCAUCUGAGAGCACUGGAUCUGGGUAACAACAACCUGCAAGAUUCAGAUGUGAAGCUACUGUCUGAUUUUAAGAAGAAUCCACACUGUAGACUGGAGUAUCUGAGAUGGAAGUGAUGAUCUCUGUUAGAGUGUGAGUGAACAUCCAAGGAGUGAGUGUUGAGAGAGGAUCAGCUGUAUCCUGAUGAUCCAUCUGGACUGGAGUCCGGAUCUGGAUUUGUCAUCUUCACUUAAGUCUUUUAACUGACUACAACCUGAACAGUUAAAUCUGGAUUUUGUUGAAGUCAGCACUUUACAAAUUUGUUGUACAUGAGCUUCUUGAUGCAGAAAAGAUAAAAAAGGGUGUUAUAAGUCAGACUCUGACCCUAUUUUAUCAGGCAUCUCAGAAUCACACUGAGAGUUAAUGAGUACUAAAACUAAUUUAUGAAGCAGAAGAGAAUUUACUCUGACUUUCAGCAGGAGAAGUAGUACUCCUGGGAGAGAGUAACAUAUCACUGUUUUACCACAGUCAGAGCAGCAAUGUAGAGAUAAUGAUGAUGUGUUGUAGUUUUCUCACAGUCUCGACCGAAAAUAUUAAACAGUGGUAAUUUGGUGUAUUAUGCUUAUAGGCAGGUAACCAGACAGGUAACUUACCAAGGUUAUGUAACAAAACCAUGAUGGCAAAAUUCAUUAUAAGAUGAUAUUUACAAACUGUAAAGAAAGUCUGAGAGAUAAAUGUAGCCUAUAUUUUAAUUAAGAUAACAGGUAAUUUCACUCAGCUGCGUGAAAUGAUCUUGGUUCAGCCAUAUGGUUUCAUAGCCUGUAAUAGUGCUGCAUCUUGCACAUAUUGAACAGACACAUGUUGCAAACCCUCUCCAUGAACAUCUUCUCUUCCAUUGUCCAAUUCCUCUUUCAACUACACCCCAAGUUAACUUCUGUUCUCUACAUGAAGGUAAAUACACUUUAACAAUAUAACCAUGUAUUUUUAACGUGUUUCACUGCCAUAAAUACUCUUGAGAACAAGAAACAUUAAAGAGGGAAAUCAGCAAGCUUGGAGUGGAAGAAAUUAGUCUGAAAAUGUGUUAGGGUGUCUAUUCCAUUGUUUGAAAAAAACUGGGCUGAUCAAAAGAAUUUAGUGUUAAUUUUCAAUAUGCAAGAGUGUUUGUAGCUUUGCAUCUAUGACACACUGUGUCCUUGUUUUGUUUCAUUUACUUAAAUAAAGAUUAAACAUGACAAUCAA
Long non-coding RNA from Thunnus maccoyii (southern bluefin tuna), 1242 nucleotides. RefSeq lists it as uncharacterized. The record is from RefSeq and is a predicted model, not a curated record. The transcript has 2 exons. Lineage: Eukaryota; Metazoa; Chordata; Actinopteri; Scombriformes; Scombridae.